CCCCAUGGCCACUAUCUCCUUCAGGGUCGGCUCGUGCUCAUCAUCCUGUGCUCCGUGGUCUUCUCUGCCGUCUACAUCCUCCUGUGCUGCUGGGCCGGCCUGCCUCUCUGCCUGGCCACCUGCCUGGACCACCACUUCCCCACAGGCUCCAGGCCCACCGUGCCGGGCCCCCUGCACUUCAGUGGAUAUAGCAGUGUGCCAGAUGGGAAGCCACUGGUCCGCGAGCCGUGCCGCAGCUGUGCCGUGGUGUCCAGCUCCGGCCAAAUGCUGGGCUCAGGCCUGGGUGCUGAGAUCGACAGUGCUGAGUGCGUGUUCCGCAUGAACCAGGCGCCCACCGUGGGCUUUGAGGCGGACGUGGGCCAGCGCAGCACCCUGCGUGUCAUCUCACACACAAGCGUGCCGCUGCUGCUGCGCAACUAUUCACACUACUUCCAGAAGGCCCGAGACACGCUCUACGUGGUGUGGGGCCAGGGCAGGCACAUGGACCGGGUGCUUGGCGGCCGC
This 504-nucleotide small RNA is filed under the name Pongo abelii (Sumatran orangutan). RNAcentral describes it as "processed transcript". Lineage: Eukaryota; Metazoa; Chordata; Mammalia; Primates; Hominidae. The record is from RNAcentral.